RNAcentral lists this ribosomal RNA (510 nucleotides) under marine sediment bacterium BB0608_AND_1.2_1S0. RNAcentral describes it as "bacterial SSU rRNA". It matches the Rfam family "Bacterial small subunit ribosomal RNA", at positions 79 to 584 of the family's 1533-position model. The record is from RNAcentral.
GCUAUCUGCUGACGAGCGGCGGACGGGUGAGUAACGCGUAGGAAUCUGCCCGGUAGCGGGGGAUAGCCCAGAGAAAUUUGGAUUAAUACCGCAUACGCCCUACGGGGGAAAGGAGGGGACUCUUCGGAGCCUUCCACUAUCGGAUGAGCCUGCGUGAGAUUAGCUAGUUGGCGGGGUAAAGGCCCACCAAGGCGACGAUCUCUAGCUGGUCUGAGAGGAUGAUCAGCCACACCGGAACUGAGACACGGUCCGGACUCCUACGGGAGGCAGCAGUGGGGAAUAUUGCACAAUGGGCGAAAGCCUGAUGCAGCCAUGCCGCGUGUGUGAAGAAGGCCUUAGGGUUGUAAAGCACUUUCAGCGAGGAGGAAAGCUUGUGAGUUAAUACCUCUCAAGUGUGACGUUACUCGCAGAAGAAGCACCGGCUAACUCCGUGCCAGCAGCCGCGGUAAUACGGAGGGUGCAAGCGUUAAUCGGAAUUACUGGGCGUAAAGCGCGCGUAGGCGGCUUGUU